GGAUUAGGCAUGCAAGUCGAACGAGGAAGUGCCCCGUAAGGGGCGCAAGCCUAGUGGCGAAAGGGUGAGUAAUGCAUUGAUAACCUGCCUUUGAGAUGGGAAUAACUGCGUUUCGAGCAAUCGGAACUACCGAAAGGGCUGCUAAUACCCAAUAAUACUAUAGGUGCAAAAGCACUUGUGGUCAAAUGCUAGGAAUUCUGUUCCUUGUGCUUAAAGAGGGGUUAAUGUCCUAUCAGCUAGUUGGUGGGGUAAUGGCCUACCAAGGCAAAGACGGGUAGCCGGCUUGAGAGGGUGGUCGGCCACACUGGGACUGAGACACUGCCCAGACUCCUACGGGAGGCUGCAGUCGAGAAUCUUUCGCAAUGCCCGAAAGGGUGACGAAGCGACGCCGCGUGUGGGAAGAAGGCCUUCGGGUUGUAAACCACUGUCGGGAGUUAGGAAAUGCAGGUGCGUUAAUAGCGCACUUGCUUGACUAAGGCUCCAGAGGAAGCCACGGCUAACUCUGUGCCAGCAGCCGCGGUAAUACAGAGGCGGCAAGCGUUGUUCGGAAUUAUUGGGCGUAAAGAGCACGUAGGCGGCUGUGUAAGUCGGUUGUGAAAGCCUUCCGCUCAACGGAAGAAGCGCAUCCGAUACUGCAUAGCUCGAGUGCGGGAGGGGAGAGUGGAACUUCUGGUGGAGCGGUGAAAUGCGUAGAUAUCAGAAGGAACACCGGCGGCGAAGGCGACUCUCUGGUCCGUAACUGACGCUGAGUGUGCGAAAGCUAGGGGAGCAAACGGGAUUAGAUACCCCGGUAGUCCUAGCCGUAAACGAUGGGCACUAAGUAGAGGGGUUUU
This 833-nucleotide ribosomal RNA is filed under the name uncultured bacterium. RNAcentral describes it as "bacterial SSU rRNA". It matches the Rfam family "Bacterial small subunit ribosomal RNA", at positions 46 to 832 of the family's 1533-position model. The record is from RNAcentral.